GCGCCCCUGCGUUGAUGGGUGACCACUAUGUUGCCUGAGCCGAUAACCGUCGAACGGGAGCUUUACUACUCUUGGUGUGUGAAUCCCGCCAGUUCGGGAUACCUGAUCCUGGAGUGUUGCACCCACCUACGACAUAAGGGUUCGACAACUCUUGAGUCAUACCGUCAACGCGGGGGCGCU
RNAcentral lists this non-coding RNA (180 nucleotides) under Mariprofundales bacterium. RNAcentral describes it as "6S RNA". It matches the Rfam family "6S / SsrS RNA". Rfam says of the family: E. coli 6S RNA was the first non coding RNA to be sequenced, but its function was unknown until recently. It consists of 184 nucleotides that fold into an extended hairpin structure with a large single-stranded internal bulge. The 6S RNA specifically associates with RNA polymerase holoenzyme containing the sigma70 specificity factor. The record is from RNAcentral. Lineage: Bacteria; Pseudomonadati; Pseudomonadota; Candidatius Mariprofundia; Mariprofundales.